GGGAAUAUUGGUCAAUGGAUGCAAGUCUGAACCAGCCAUGCCGCGUGCAGGAAGAAGGCCUUCUGGGUUGUAAACUGCUUUUACCAGGGGAUAAAAAUCUCAUGCGUGAGAAAUUGAAGGUACCUGGUGAAUAAGCCACGGCUAACUACGUGCCAGCAGCCGCGGUAAUACGUAGGUGGCAAGCGUUGUCCGGAUUUACUGGGCGUAAAGCGCGCGCAGGCGGACUGAUCAGUCUGGGGUGAAAUCUCCCGGCUCAACUGGGAGCGGUCCCUGGAUACUGUCAGUCUCGAGAGACCUAGAGGAGAGCGGAAUUCCCGGUGUAGUGGUGGAAUGCGUAGAUAUCGGGAAGAACACCAGUGGCGAAAGCGGCUCUCUGGGGGUUUUCUGACGCUGAGGCGCGAAAGCGUGGGGAGCGAA
Molecule: ribosomal RNA, 417 nt
Filed under: uncultured bacterium
Lineage: Bacteria
Description: bacterial SSU rRNA
Rfam family: Bacterial small subunit ribosomal RNA
Source: RNAcentral